GACGAGGGGUCCAAGCGUUGUUCGGAAUCACUGGGCGUAAAGCGCAUGUAGGCGGCUCGGUAAGUCAGGUGUGAAAGCCCUGGGCUCAACCCAGGAAGUGCAUUUGAUACUGCCAAGCUUGAGUAUGGGAGAGGGUAGUGGAAUUCCUGGUGUAGUGGUGAAAUACGUAGAUAUCAGGAGGAACACCGGUGGCGAAGGCGGCUACCUGGCCCAAUACUGACGCUGAGAUGCGAAAGCGUGGGGAUCAAACAGG
RNAcentral lists this ribosomal RNA (253 nucleotides) under uncultured bacterium. RNAcentral describes it as "partial 16S ribosomal RNA". It matches the Rfam family "Bacterial small subunit ribosomal RNA", at positions 524 to 776 of the family's 1533-position model. The record is from RNAcentral.